AAGCAGGAUGUGAANUCCCCGGGCUCAACCUGGGAACUGCGUUNUGAACUGGGUGACUAGAGUGUNUCAGAGGGAGGUAGAAUUCCACGUGUAGCAGUGAAAUGCGUAGAGAUGUGGAGGAAUACCGAUGGCGAAGGCAGCNUCCUGGGAUAACACUGACGUUCAUGCCCGAAAGCGUGGGUAGCAAACAGGAUUAGAUACCCUGGUAGUCCACGCCCUAAACGAUGUCGAUUAGCUGUUGGGCAGCAUGACUGCUUAGUAGCGAAGCUAACGCGUGAAAUCGACCGCCUGGGGAGUACGGUCGCAAGAUUAAAACUCAAAGGAAUUGACGGGGACCCGCACAAGCGGUGGAUGAUGUGGAUUAAUUCGAUGCAACGCGAAGAACCUUACCUGGUCUUGACAUGUACGGAAUCCUCCAGAGACGGAGGAGUGCCUUCGGGAGCCGUAACACAGGUGCUGCAUGGCUGUCGUCAGCUCGUGUCGUGAGAUGUUGGGUUAAGUCCCGCAACGAGCGCAACCCUUGUCAUUAGUUGCCAUCAUUAAGUUGGGCACUCUAAUGAGACUGCCGGUGACAAGCCGGAGGAAGGUGGGGAUGACGUCAAGUCCUCAUGGCCCUUAUGACCAGGGCUUCACACGUCAUACAAUGGUCGGUACAGAGGGUAGCCAAGCCGCGAGGCGGAGCCAAUCUCACAAAACUGAUCGUAGUCCGGAUUGCACUCUGCAACUCGAGUGCAUGAAGUCGGAGUCGCUAGUAAUCGCAGGUCAGCAUACUGCGGUGAAUACGUUCCCGGGUCUUGUACACACCGCCCGUCACACCAUGGGAGUGGGGGAUACCAGAAGUAGGUAGGGUAACC
RNAcentral lists this ribosomal RNA (854 nucleotides) under uncultured bacterium. RNAcentral's name for it is "bacterial SSU rRNA". It matches the Rfam family "Bacterial small subunit ribosomal RNA", at positions 585 to 1440 of the family's 1533-position model. The record is from RNAcentral.